RNAcentral lists this transfer RNA (74 nucleotides) under Thermosporothrix sp. COM3. RNAcentral's name for it is "tRNA-Ala". It matches the Rfam family "tRNA". From Rfam's summary of the family: Transfer RNA (tRNA) molecules are approximately 80 nucleotides in length. Their secondary structure includes four short double-helical elements and three loops (D, anti-codon, and T loops). The record is from RNAcentral. Lineage: Bacteria; Bacillati; Chloroflexota; Ktedonobacteria; Ktedonobacterales; Thermosporotrichaceae.
UGGGGUGUAGUUUAACGGUGAGAAUACCGUCCUUGCAAGAUGGAGAUAGAGGGUUCGAACCCCUUUCGCCUUAU